This 299-nucleotide long non-coding RNA is filed under the name Carica papaya (papaya). Its description in RNAcentral is "long non-coding RNA (CPAP_LNC001231)". The record is from RNAcentral. Lineage: Eukaryota; Viridiplantae; Streptophyta; Magnoliopsida; Brassicales; Caricaceae.
GCGUGAACCAUUUUCUUUAACAUUUUCAAUUAACGGGUCAUCCCCAUACCCCAUCCGGUAUGAGCACCAAAUUACUAAAUCUCGAUACUCCGUCUGGUAUGAGGGUGAAACGGACCGUCCCCGCACCCGUCCAGUAUGAGCGCUAAAUUACCAAAUCUUGAUGCCCCGUCCGGUAUGAAGCAACGUUCACGGUAAGGUUCUUUAUGUACCCGGCUCGUCCACCAUCUCCUAGAAUAUCUAGUAAGCCUGCUGUUUCAUCCAUUCACGUAAUUAAAUAAUUUUUUGUUGACCUUUAAUUU